CCAGACUCCUACGGGAGGCAGCAGUGAGGAAUAUUGGUCAAUGGCCGGAAGGCUGAACCAGCCAAGUCGCGUGAGGGAAUAAGGCCCUAUGGGUCGUAAACCUCUUUUGUCAGGGAGCAACGCCGGCUACGUGUAGCCGGACUGAGAGUACCUGAAGAAAAAGCAUCGGCUAACUCCGUGCCAGCAGCCGCGGUAAUACGGAGGAUGCGAGCGUUAUCCGGAUUUAUUGGGUUUAAAGGGUGCGUAGGCGGAAUGCCAAGUCAGCGGUAAAAUCGGGGGGCUCAACCUCGCUCCGCCGUUGAAACUGGCGUUCUUGAGUGGGCGAGAAGUAUGCGGAAUGCGUGGUGUAGCGGUGAAAUGCAUAGAUAUCACGCAGAACCCCGAUUGCGAAGGCAGCCUUCCGGCGCCCUACCGACGCUGAGGCACGAAAGUGCGGGGAUCGAACAGGAUUAGAUACCCCAGUAC
This 465-nucleotide ribosomal RNA is filed under the name uncultured bacterium. RNAcentral describes it as "bacterial SSU rRNA". It matches the Rfam family "Bacterial small subunit ribosomal RNA", at positions 331 to 793 of the family's 1533-position model. The record is from RNAcentral.